Molecule: ribosomal RNA, 207 nt
Filed under: uncultured bacterium
Lineage: Bacteria
Description: partial 16S ribosomal RNA
Rfam family: Bacterial small subunit ribosomal RNA
Source: RNAcentral
CGCGCAGGCGGCUCGUUAAGUCCAAGGUGAAAUCCCACGGCUCAACUGUGGGGGGACCCUGGAUACUGGCGGGCUGGAGUGCGGGAGAGGGAAGCGGAAUUCCACAUGUAACGGUGAAAUGUAUAGAUAUGUGGAGGAACACCGGUGGCGAAGGCGGCUUCCUGGACCGUAACUGACGCUGAGGCGCGAAAGCUGGGGGAGCGAACA